Long non-coding RNA from Amphiprion ocellaris (clown anemonefish), 1967 nucleotides. RefSeq lists it as uncharacterized. NCBI's taxonomy places the organism in Eukaryota, Metazoa, Chordata, Actinopteri, Pomacentridae. The transcript is spliced from 5 exons. The record is from RefSeq and is a predicted model, not a curated record.
GAACACCUCCGCCCGGAUACGAGCCUUCAGCUGGCCCAGCACACCACGGGCCUCCAGCGUCUCCCUCACGGCUAAAAAUGUACAGAAAUGGUUUUCAAAUAAUACAAGAAUUACCGAGAGAAACUCCCCGCCUGACUACUGUCCAAAUUGGCUGCUUCCAGCUCAGAUUUUGAAGGCUGUGAAAACCUCACUUCCCCUGCGUUUGCCAAGAGAACCUUUUGAAGGUAUCAAACGGGUCAAGGUUCAUCCGGAGGGAGCCUGAGAACAGCACUGGGUCCUGAGAGAACAGACAUCAGAUGUUAUUCAUCAGAAAACUGUCCAGCACUCUCUUUUCGCUCUGUGCUUGCAAAAGUGUGGAUGAAGUCAGCAAAGGCACCAUGGCGGCUGAGGAGCUCCUGGUAGGAGCCACUCUCUGUGAUUUCUCCAUCUACCAGGACCAGGAUGAGGUCAGCCUGCGGCAGGAAACUCAUCCCAUGGGUCACCAGAAUGCGGCAGGUAGGAUGUCGAGGUCAGGCAGCAGGGCGCAAGCCUCCAGCACACGGUGGUACCAUGUUUUCAGCUUCUCACGGCCAAAUAUGAUGUUGUCUUGAACUGUGGCGUUCUGGAUCCAGGCCUGCUGGGGGACGUACGCUACAGAGCCCUGAAGACAGAAGUCAAAACAGAGACCAUCAAUAUUUAUUAAAUGUAACCACAAGCUAUGAAUAGAUCUUGUACAUGGAACAUAAGCUCAGUACCUUGACAGAAACUUGGCCACUUCUUUUCUCUGUUUCCCCGAGCAUGGCGGACAACAAAGAAGACUUUCCACUGCCUACAUGUCCAACCACAGCAACUAGGGAACCUCGUGGCACACGGACGUCGAUCCUGUCAGCAAUGACAGGAAUUGUCCUAUAAGUCUCUUUUUUUUUUUUUUUUUUUUUUUUUUUUUUGCAGAUUUUUUAAAAAACCUUUUUUUUAGACACAUACCGUUUGAGACAUGGAGCGCCCUCCGCAGACCAGCUGAAAGUACCGUUUUCUAAGACCACAUCGUCUCCAUCUGAACAACAAAGAAAGGUGGACUAAAAUGAACAAAACCUCCAAUGAGCACAGAAAAGAAGAAUGUGUUCUUUGAAACCUGAGUAACAAACAAACAUCCAAAACAAAGUUUUCCCUUGAAGUUAUUCGUUAGAGUGCAGUCUGGGUGUAAUUACAAGUGAAUUUGCUUAAUCAUGCAAAUUACAGAGCUGUUGCUUUUUCACAAGCUGUCUUAGGAAGUGUUGACAGAUUACAGACAGAGGAGCGCAGUAUAUUUUUUUCAUUUCUCUAUGAAUCAUAUGUCUGAAUUCAUGCUGUGAUUUACGUUCAACCACUAAAUGGGAACAUCCUAUAAUUACCCUGUCUACCAGUCAGCCCGGGACCCAGGAAGUGACAGUGCACAUGAUCCAUACAAGGCUGUGGUACUCCACAGUUAUAAACAACAACAUCUAACAGGCGGCUUAUAUUGAUUAUGACAGCCUAUGAUUUCAGGCUGUAUGGGAGCCAAAUUGGGGAAAUUUGUGAAAUGAAACGUUGCAGCAGAGUACCUUAUUCAUUCAGAGUAAUAGUUUAUAUAUGGGUGGGGUUCUUACCAGAGCUCAAUGGAGCCUUUGAGACAUUGUCCACUUUAAGUUCCUCUGAGCACAGGUACUUUCCCAGACGUCUCAGUGAAACUACGGCCUGAAACAGUCAGAGAUUAGUUAGCUGACCUAUAUCUGUCAACUUAAUCAUGAAAAUAUCAUCAGAGUCCAUGAUUAGAGAAGACUUCUCACAGCAAUCAUGGGUAUUGAGGAGAACUGUCACCUACCUGCAUGGUUGUACUUAUUGCAAAUGGAAGCUGACUAAGUGGGGUCUUCAGGAUGUUGAUUAGUGCCAUUGAGACAAACACUUUCUGGGCAUCCAGGACAUUUCUGUCAUCGAGCCCCACAUAGACUCCAAACAUGGCAAAGGCAAUC